AAUAGAUACCCCGGUAGUCCAUGCCGUAAACGUUGGGAACUAGAUGUGGGGACCAUUCCACGGUCUCCGUGUCGCAGCUAACGCAUUAAGUUCCCCGCCUGGGGAGUACGGCCGCAAGGCUAAAACUCAAAGGAAUUGACGGGGGCCCGCACAAGCGGCGGAGCAUGCGGAUUAAUUCGAUGCAACGCGAAGAACCUUACCAAGGCUUGACAUAUACCGGAAAGGUCUGGAAACAGUCCCCCCGCAAGGUCGGUAUACAGGUGGUGCAUGGUUGUCGUCAGCUCGUGUCGUGAGAUGUUGGGUUAAGUCCCGCAACGAGCGCAACCCUCGUCUUAUGUUGCCAGCGGUUCGGCCGGGGACUCAUAAGAGACUGCCGGGGUCAACUCGGAGGAAGGUGGGGAUGAGGUCAAAUCAUCAUGCCCCUUAUGUCUUGGGCUUCACGCAUGCUACAAUGGCCGGUACAAAGGGCUGCAAUACCGCGAGGUGGAGCGAAUCCCAAAAGCCGGUCUCAGUUCGGAUUGAGGUCUGCAACUGACCCCAUGAAGUCGGU
RNAcentral lists this ribosomal RNA (550 nucleotides) under uncultured bacterium. Its description in RNAcentral is "bacterial SSU rRNA". It matches the Rfam family "Bacterial small subunit ribosomal RNA", at positions 777 to 1330 of the family's 1533-position model. The record is from RNAcentral.